CACAGGUGUGUGUUUGGUUUGUGUGAAUGUGUGCUAUACAAAAGACAGAGGGAGGAGCACACAAUUCAGAGGCACGAUCAGAGCAAGAUGGAGAGAUGGAGAUAGACUGAGAGGGGUUCUGUAUCAAAGCUACGGCAAAAAAGAGAUCUCAUUCAAACCAAUUUGUGCCAGAAGAUAAUUCUAUUGCUACAGACGUCCUGCGCUCUCUGGAUAAUGGCCCACAUCCAGACUCCAUCAAGUGGUAAACAGUAAAAGAGCCACCGCCAGUGAAUCCCAGUGAGACCAUAUCAGCACACAGGAGGCAGGUUUAAUCAUGGAAAGGGUCUGGUUUCCACUGAUAAGACUGCAAACAGUACUCGGAGGAAAACAAUUCAAACCAAAGUCCUUUCAUUCCUCCUUUCACAAGAUCCAGGAUGUGAUUUUUUUUCUUCUUUGUUUUGUCUCCGUCAGAAAUAAAGUCUUGUAAUUUAUGAGGCAGAGCUGAGAUUAAACUAAUGAAAUAAAUCCAUCAAUUGUUAA
Molecule: long non-coding RNA, 519 nt
Organism: Perca flavescens (yellow perch)
Lineage: Eukaryota; Metazoa; Chordata; Actinopteri; Perciformes; Percidae
Exons: 2
Source: RefSeq, a predicted model, not a curated record